RNAcentral lists this ribosomal RNA (259 nucleotides) under uncultured bacterium. RNAcentral's name for it is "partial 16S ribosomal RNA". It matches the Rfam family "Bacterial small subunit ribosomal RNA", at positions 524 to 776 of the family's 1533-position model. The record is from RNAcentral.
UACGAAGGGGAGCUAGCGUUGUUCGGAAUCAGCUAGGGCGUAAAGCGCAGCGUAGGCGAUCUUUAAGUCAGAGGUGAAAUCCCAAGGCUCAACCUUGGAACUGCCUUUGAUACUGGGGAUCGUUGAGUCCGGGAGAGGUGAGUGGAACUGCGAGUGUAAGAGGUGAAAUUCGUAGAUAUUCGCAAGAACACCAGUGGGCGAAGGCGGCUCACUGGCCCGGUACUGACGCUGAGGUGCGAAAGCGUGGGGAGCAAACAGG